RNAcentral lists this ribosomal RNA (227 nucleotides) under uncultured Lactobacillus sp. RNAcentral's name for it is "partial 16S ribosomal RNA". It matches the Rfam family "Bacterial small subunit ribosomal RNA", at positions 134 to 355 of the family's 1533-position model. Lineage: Bacteria; Bacillati; Bacillota; Bacilli; Lactobacillales; Lactobacillaceae. The record is from RNAcentral.
GAGAUCGGGAUAACACCUGGAAACAGAUGCUAAUACCGGAUAACAACAGAUGAUGCCUAUCAACUGUUUAAAAGAUGGUUCUGCUAUCACUCUUGGAUGGACCUGCGGUGCAUUAGCUAGUUGGUAGGGUAACGGCCUACCAAGGCGAUGAUGCAUAGCCGAGUUGAGAGACUGAUCGGCCACAUUGGGACUGAGACACGGCCCAAACUCCUACGGGAGGCAGCAGC